RNAcentral lists this ribosomal RNA (546 nucleotides) under Umbonium vestiarium. RNAcentral describes it as "partial 16S ribosomal RNA". The stretch from base 1 to 191 matches the Rfam family "Archaeal large subunit ribosomal RNA", at positions 1919 to 2143 of the family's 2987-position model. The record is from RNAcentral. Lineage: Eukaryota; Metazoa; Mollusca; Gastropoda; Trochida; Trochidae.
GGCGUUGGAAGGGGAAUAUAGGGAAUCGACCUGCCCAGUGACUAAGAUGUUAAACGGCCGCGGUACCCUAACCGUGCAAAGGUAGCAUAAUCAUUUGCCUUUUAAUUGGAGGCUUGUAUGAAUGGUUUGACGAGAGCUAUGCUGUCUCUAUUAAAAUAAUUAGAAAUUAACUUUUAGGUGAAGAGGCCUAAAUUAAGCUGAGGGACAAGAAGACCCUGUUGAGCUUUAGUGUGGUUAAGUUAAUAAUUUUUUCAUUAAUGAAAAACAUUGUUUUAAUGAAUCUUUAGUUUUUGAGACUGACCAACAUAAAAAUCAUCCGGGGAAUCUUGGUCCCUCUCUUAAUUGAGGAUUUUCACCUAAAAAUUAAUUUCUAUUAUUUAAAAGAGACAGCAUAGCUCUCGUCAACCUUCGAACAAGCCCCCAUUAUAAGGGAAAGAUUAUGCUACCUUUGGGGGUGAGGGACGGGGGCGUUAAAAUCCUAAUCGGUGGGGAGGUCCAACUCCUAUUACGAAACUCCAGGGAACAUGUUUUAAAAAAAAGGGGGAG